This 248-nucleotide ribosomal RNA is filed under the name uncultured bacterium. Its description in RNAcentral is "partial 16S ribosomal RNA". It matches the Rfam family "Bacterial small subunit ribosomal RNA", at positions 85 to 334 of the family's 1533-position model. The record is from RNAcentral.
UAGAUGGCGACCGGCGCACGGGUGAGUAACACGUAUGCAACCUGCCCGAUACCGGGGUAUAGCCCAUGGAAACGUGGAUUAACACCCCAUAGUACUUUUAUCCUGCCUGGGAUGGGAGUUAAAUGUUCAAGGUAUCGGAUGGGCAUGCGUCCUAUUAGUUAGUUGGCGGGGUAACAGCCCACCAAGACGAUGAUAGGUAGGGGUUCUGAGAGGAAGGUCCCCCACAUUGGAACUGAGACACGGUCCAA